This 410-nucleotide ribosomal RNA is filed under the name uncultured bacterium. RNAcentral describes it as "bacterial SSU rRNA". It matches the Rfam family "Bacterial small subunit ribosomal RNA", at positions 370 to 772 of the family's 1533-position model. The record is from RNAcentral.
AAUGGACGAAAGUCUGACGCAGCAACGCCGCGUGGGUGAUGAAGGUCUUCGGAUCGUAAAACCCUGUCGUCAGGGACGAAGGUAAUGUGCCUAAUACGCAUGUUGCUUGACGGUACCUGGAGAGGAAGCCCCGGCUAACUCUGUGCCAGCAGCCGCGGUAAUACAGAGGGGGCAAGCGUUAUUCGGAAUUAUUGGGCGUAAAGGGCGCGUAGGCGGUCUUUUAAGUCAGAUGUGCAAUCCCCGAGCUCAACUUGGGAACUGCAUCUGAGACUGGAAGACUCGAGUGCUGGAGAGGGUGGUAGAAUUCCACGUGUAGCGGUGAAAUGCGUAGAGAUGUGGAGGAAUACCAGUGGCGAAGGCGGCCACCUGGACAGUAACUGACGCUGAGGCGCGAAAGUGUGGGUAGCAAA